RNAcentral lists this ribosomal RNA (288 nucleotides) under Salmonella enterica subsp. enterica serovar Infantis. RNAcentral describes it as "partial 23S ribosomal RNA". It matches the Rfam family "Bacterial large subunit ribosomal RNA", at positions 528 to 816 of the family's 2925-position model. The record is from RNAcentral. Lineage: Bacteria; Pseudomonadati; Pseudomonadota; Gammaproteobacteria; Enterobacterales; Enterobacteriaceae. RNAcentral also lists the same sequence under 6 other names.
GGCGAGGGGAGUGAAAAAGAACCUGAAACCGUGUACGUACAAGCAGUGGGAGCACAGGUUUACCUGUGUGACUGCGUACCUUUUGUAUAAUGGGUCAGCGACUUAUAUUCUGUAGCAAGGUUAACCGAAUAGGGGAGCCGGAGGGAAACCGAGUCUUAAUUGGGCGUUAAGUUGCAGGGUAUAGACCCGAAACCCGGUGAUCUAGCCAUGGGCAGGUUGAAGGUUGGGUAACACUAACUGGAGGACCGAACCGACUAAUGUUGAAAAAUUAGCGGAUGACCUGUGGCU